This 203-nucleotide long non-coding RNA is filed under the name Elaeis guineensis (African oil palm). RNAcentral's name for it is "long non-coding RNA (EGUI_LNC020892)". Lineage: Eukaryota; Viridiplantae; Streptophyta; Magnoliopsida; Arecales; Arecaceae. The record is from RNAcentral.
UCUGAAGCCCUAGCCGACCUUCUCUCUGAAGCCCUAGCCGACCCUCUAAAAUUCUAGCCGAUCUGAGUUGGAGAUGGAUGUACUGAUCUUGGAUCUGAGCUCUCGAAGGCUAAAGAUCUCCAUUUUGAUCUCAUAUACUCUCCUUCCGACGAUCAGAUGAAGAUGAGUAUUACUUUUUUAUUAUUAUUAUUAUUUUUUUUUAC